RNAcentral lists this long non-coding RNA (596 nucleotides) under Homo sapiens (human). RNAcentral describes it as "long intergenic non-protein coding RNA 2271". Lineage: Eukaryota; Metazoa; Chordata; Mammalia; Primates; Hominidae. The record is from RNAcentral.
AUUAUGUAAUAUGCCUCAGGCAGUGGCAGAAACCUAGGCUGAAAUAACCAGCACUACUUGCCAAACACUUUAGAAAGAUUAUGUUUCUUCUCCAUUACAGAAGUGGAACAUAUGGUUCAGGAAUUUACCCUAAAGGCAAACUACAGAGGUUAAGCAUGUGAUGCAGGGGCCAAAAUUGUGAGUUCAAAUGCCAACAUGUUUACUUACUAACUUCAUGACCUCACAAACUUGCUUCAACUUUCUGUAACUUUGUCUGCUUAUCUAUAAAACAAUACGUACCUCAACGUCUGGUUAAAAGUUUCAAUUGGCAUAAUAUAUAUAAAGCUCUUAGAAGACUGCCUGGAACAGUUUGCAGCAAGAUCCUCCCAGGAAAGUGAAGCGGAGAAAAUGGAGGUAGAAACUAUUCUCCUCAUUAAACUACCUGCCCUCUGUAAUGUAGCUCUUCUGUGCUGCAGAAAUUGAUACUACACAAGAAAAGAAAUGAUGGGAGAAUAGUGAAGAAGAGAAGAACUGGCCAGGUAGCAACAUAUAAGAGGCCAAGGGCCGGGCGCAGUGGCUCACACCUGUAAUCCAAACACUUUGGGAGGCCAAGGCGG